RNAcentral lists this ribosomal RNA (164 nucleotides) under Jasione foliosa. RNAcentral's name for it is "5.8S ribosomal RNA". It matches the Rfam family "5.8S ribosomal RNA". Rfam says of the family: 5.8S ribosomal RNA (5.8S rRNA) is a component of the large subunit of the eukaryotic ribosome. It is transcribed by RNA polymerase I as part of the 45S precursor that also contains 18S and 28S rRNA. RNAcentral also lists the same sequence under 3 other names. Lineage: Eukaryota; Viridiplantae; Streptophyta; Magnoliopsida; Asterales; Campanulaceae. The record is from RNAcentral.
CAAACGACUCUCGGCAACGGAUAUCUCGGCUCUCGCAUCGAUGAAGAACGUAGCGAAAUGCGAUACUUGGUGUGAAUUGCAGAAUCCCGUGAACCAUCGAGUCUUUGAACGCAAGUUGCGCCCGAAGCCUUUAGGCUGAGGGCACGUCUGCAUGGGCGUCACGC